GACGAACGCUGGCGGCGUGCUUAACACAUGCAAGUCGAACGGAAAGGCCCUGCUUUUGUGGGGUGCUCGAGUGGCGAACGGGUGAGUAACACGUGAGUAACCUGCCCUUGACUUUGGGAUAACUUCAGGAAACUGGGGCUAAUACCGGAUAGGAGCUCCUGCUGCAUGGUGGGGGUUGGAAAGUUUCGGCGGUUGGGGAUGGACUCGCGGCUUAUCAGCUUGUUGGUGGGGUAGUGGCUUACCAAGGCUUUGACGGGUAGCCGGCCUGAGAGGGUGACCGGCCACAUUGGGACUGAGAUACGGCCCGAACUCCUACGGGCGGCAGCAGUGGGGAAUAUUGCACAAUGGGCGGAAGCCUGAUGCAGCAACGCCGCGUGCGGGAUGACGGCCUUCGGGUUGUAAACCGCUUUCGCCUGUGACGAAGCGUGAGUGGCGGUAAUGAGUAGAGAAGCACCGGCUAACUACGUG
RNAcentral lists this ribosomal RNA (468 nucleotides) under uncultured bacterium. Its description in RNAcentral is "partial 16S ribosomal RNA". It matches the Rfam family "Bacterial small subunit ribosomal RNA", at positions 28 to 507 of the family's 1533-position model. The record is from RNAcentral.